This 545-nucleotide ribosomal RNA is filed under the name uncultured bacterium. Its description in RNAcentral is "bacterial SSU rRNA". It matches the Rfam family "Bacterial small subunit ribosomal RNA", at positions 9 to 596 of the family's 1533-position model. The record is from RNAcentral.
GAGUUUGAUCCUGGCUCAGAACGUACGCUGGCGGCACGCCUAAUACAUGCAAGUCGAACGAAGUAGCAAUACUUAGUGGCAGACGGGUGAGUAACAUGUAGGUAUCUGCCCUUUGGCCUGGAAUAACACGAGGAAACUUGUGCUAAUACUGGAUAAGUCUCUACGGAGAAAGCUUAAUUGGCACCAAUGGGAUGAGCCUGCACUUGAUUAGUUGGUAGGUGGGGUAAUGGCCUACCAAGACUGUGAUCAAUAGCUGAUUUGAGAGGAUGAUCAGCCACAUUGGGACUGAGACACGGCCCAAACUCCUACGGGAGGCAGCAGUAGGGAAUCUUGCACAAUGGAGGAAACUCUGAUGCAGCGAUGCCGCGUGAGUGAAGAAGGCCUUUGGGUUGUAAAGCUCUUUCGUCGGGGAAGAAAAUGACUGUACCCGAAUAAGAAGGUCCGGCUAACUUCGUGCCAGCAGCCGCGGUAAUACGAAGGGACCUAGCGUAGUUCGGAAUUACUGGGCUUAAAGAGUUCGUAGGUGGUUGAAAAAGUUGGUGGUG